GACGAACGCUGGCGGCGUGCUUAACACAUGCAAGUCGAACGGAAAGGCCCUGCUUUUGUGGUGUGCUCGAGUGGCGAACGGGUGAGUAACACGUGAGUAACCUGCCCUUGACUUUGGGAUAACUUCAGGAAACUGGGGCUACUACCGGAUAGGAGCUCCUGCUGCAUGGUGGGGGUUGGAAAGUUUCGGCGGUCGGGGAUGUACUCGCGGCUUAUCAGCUUGUUGGUGGGGUAGUGGCUUACCAAGGCUUUGACGGGUAGCCGGCCUGAGAGGGUGACCGGCCACAUUGGGACUAAGAUACGGCGCAGACUCCUACGGGAGGCAGAAGUGGGGAAUAUUGCACAAUGGGCGGAAGCCUGAUGCAGCAACGCCGCGUGCGGGAUGAAGGCCUUCGGGUUGUAAACCGCGUUCGCCUGUGACGAAGCGUGAGUGACGGUAAUGGGUAAAGAAGCACCGGCUAACUACGUG
This 468-nucleotide ribosomal RNA is filed under the name uncultured bacterium. RNAcentral describes it as "partial 16S ribosomal RNA". It matches the Rfam family "Bacterial small subunit ribosomal RNA", at positions 28 to 507 of the family's 1533-position model. The record is from RNAcentral.